UCGGAUUGUAGUCUGCAACUCGACUACAUGAAGCUGGAAUCGCUAGUAAUCGCGAAUCAGAAUGUCGCGGUGAAUACGUUCCCGGGUCUUGUACACACCGCCGUCACACCAUGGGAGUCAGUAACGCCCGAAGCCGGUGACCCAACCAAACGGAGGGAGCCGUCGAAGGUGGGACCGAUAACUGGGGUGAAGUCGUAACAAGGUAGC
This 207-nucleotide ribosomal RNA is filed under the name uncultured bacterium. Its description in RNAcentral is "partial 16S ribosomal RNA". It matches the Rfam family "Bacterial small subunit ribosomal RNA", at positions 1293 to 1500 of the family's 1533-position model. The record is from RNAcentral.